GCCCGAUUGGCUCAAUUGGUUAGAGCGCUGCCUUCAGAUCCCGAGAUUGAGGGUUUGAUUCCCACUGGUA
RNAcentral lists this transfer RNA (70 nucleotides) under Mytilus galloprovincialis (Mediterranean mussel). Lineage: Eukaryota; Metazoa; Mollusca; Bivalvia; Mytilida; Mytilidae. The record is from RNAcentral.